AUUGAACGCUGGCGGCAGGCCUAACACAUGCAAGUCCAACGUGUGGCGGAGGGGUGAGUAAUGUCUGGGAAACUGCCCGAUGGAGGGGGAUAAAUUCUGGAAACGGUAGCUAAUCCCGCAUACCAUCCGAUGUGCCCCGAUGGGAGUAUCUUGUUGGUGGGGUAACGGCGCACCAAGGCGCCGACCCCUAGCUGGUCUGAGAGGAUGACCAGCCACACGGGAACGUGGGUACGGUCCAGAAUCCGACGUGAGGCGGCAGUGGGGAAGAUUGCAAGAGGGGAGGAAGCCAUAUGCAGCCGUGCCGCGUGGAUGAAGAAGGCCUUCGGGUGGUAGAGUACGUGCAGCGGGGAGGCGUUGCCCGCAGAAGAAGCACCGGGUAACUCCGUGCCAGCAGCCGCGGUAAUAC
This 406-nucleotide ribosomal RNA is filed under the name uncultured bacterium. Its description in RNAcentral is "partial 16S ribosomal RNA". It matches the Rfam family "Bacterial small subunit ribosomal RNA", at positions 29 to 526 of the family's 1533-position model. The record is from RNAcentral.